This is a long non-coding RNA of Equus asinus (donkey), 2677 nucleotides long. NCBI's taxonomy places the organism in Eukaryota, Metazoa, Chordata, Mammalia, Perissodactyla, Equidae. The record is from Ensembl.
AGAAGUAUAAGGUAACUUACUGGACAAAAUUGAGUUCCGAAAGAAGAGCGUGAUAGAGAUGAGUGGAGGUGGAGCUGAUGUAAGAUCAGGUCUGGAAACAGAGACUAAGAAGUUAUGGACUUGUCAAAAGUCUCACAGCAAUGCAUUUAAGAUGAUGUCCAGUCAGCUUGGGCUGCUAUAACAAAACACUAUAAACAGAGUGGCUUGUCAACAAUAGGCAUUUAUUUCUCACAGUUCUGGAGGCUGGAAGUUCAAGAUCAUGGUGUCAGCAUGGUCGGGUUCUGGUGAGGACCUUCUUCCGGGUUGCGGACAGCUGACUUCUUGUAUCCUCUCAUGGCAAAAAAAGAGCUAGCUAGCUCUCUGGCCUCAUUUAUGAGGGCACCAUUCCCACUCUUGAGGGCUCCACCCUCAUGACCUUAUUACCUCCCAAAGGCCCCACCUCCAAAUACCAUCACAUUGGGAUUAGAAUUGCAACAUAUGAAUUUUGGGGGAACACAGCCUUCAGUCCAUAACAGAUGAAAACCCCAAUUUAUGGUUCUGCACAGGAUUAAGUGUAGCAGAUCUUUCGGAAACACUGUUCAUGGCUCAUUAGCAUCUGUUCUGCUAUCCAGCAUAUGCCGAGCGGCUGCAACAUCUGAUAGAGGCAGGGCUGGCCCAGAAGAAUUUACUGGGAGAGAGUGUCUAAUAACAUGAACAAUUGCAUAUUCCUUUCCAUUCUGAGAAGCCAAGGUAUUUUCGCCCGGUGGAGGAAUGACGUAGUUCCAUCCUAAUCUUGUCUUAUACUUGCAGGUAAGUGAGUCAGUUGAUCAUAAAUUACUUAAGAAACAGACCUGGGUAUGGUCCGAGUUGUAUUCCGUAUCCUGGCUAUGUUUGAAAUGUGUUAAAUUUCAUUUUACUUUCAAUAGUUUGAUUAAUAACAAGUUACUAUGUGAGACAUGCAGCCUUUUUCAAAGUGAUGGCAUUCCUGAGCUGCUUUGAACCCUUCUCCUCCUUUGUAAAGCCUGCAGUCUGCAUUUAACCUUACCAGCUUCUUCCGAAUUUCUCUCUUCUCAAAGUGGCGAAUGACUUAAACCAAUAAUGUAGUUAGAAGAACUCAUAAUUCUUUCUUAAAAAAUGUUCACUUGAAUAGGAACAUUUGUUCUCUUUUUGGAAGUUGUGACAGAAUAUUAAGUUUUCUCAAAUAUUUAGCCUUAAUCAAAUGGGCACCAUAAUUUUGACCAUGCUAUAAUUAUUUAAGUAAAAAUGUUUAGGGAAUUGAAGAAUGACCUUCCUUUCUAACUUAUACCAUCUUAGGGAUGUGCUCUCUAGAAGUCUUGGAGAAUAGUGCCCUAAUGGAUUAGGCAGUUGGUUUUAGUUUGGGGACCAAUGUAAAUCUCUGGAACAUUGUUUUAGUUCUGCUCUUGUAACCGAUGAUUUUGAAUUUCUCUGCAAUAAGAUAUUUUUAUUAUACCUGGCAAGAGUAAACUUAAAAAAAACACCAAGAACCUUAGGGACAUCAUGAACGUUGAAAUGCAACAGUAUGAAAUGGGAAGUUGUAUAUAUGGUUCCCUUCUUCAGCAGAGCAAACCUUUUUUAGUUUCCUCUAGAAAUGAUUCAGUAGACAUAAAAUUGAAAAUAAGUAAGCCGUGCUCAGCAUUUGCAUAUCUUCAAGAAGCUCUCUUCGCCCUUCCUCUUUAUUUAACGAAUUUCUAUACAGGUUUUGUUCAUGAUUUUGUAUUUUUUGUUUUUACUUUUGUUACAUUGAUUAAGAUAAAAGAGUGGAAGUCAAAACAUUUGAUUUGGUUUUGCGUUAAUGAACUGCUUUGUACUAAAACUAAAUGAGGAGUUAAAAAGGGAUUGUAUCCGAGUUACUAAUAACAGAAAAAUAAAAACAGCCUUGGCCAAAAGUUAAUGAAACGAACAAAAAUAAUCAAAGAAUCAUUCUUCACAAAUUCCUUUCUGAGUAGAAAGUCAAGUUGCUGAGAGGCCUGGGUGAUUUAGGGCCCACUUGAGGGUCAUAUGGGAUUGUGCUAAUCUUAGGUCUGUGAUGUUUAAUGUUUUGAGAGUGACUUGGAUGAUGUAGAAGAGAAUGUCAUUAGAACACCAUGUAGACCAUAAAUACUCAAACCUUGAGAGAAUAGUAGAAAAGAGGCAAAGGAAACUUUACUAAAAUACAGAAGCCGUCAAAAGCUGGGUAAGGUCCCCUUGGGCAAAUGCAAAGUGGUAGGAUGUUAAUUCUCUACUGUGAAGCUACUGGAGUAGCGGAAGCCAGAGCCACACAGCGCGAGCUGGGUUUCAGGGGGCGAGGAUGGUGCUGUGGAUCCCUGUGCAGACACACGGGACGUUGCCAGGGCGCCGAGGCUCCACCUGGCUAGCACUCCACCAAGUGCUAGCUUGGGAAGCCGGUUUUCCAGGACCCUCUCCUUUAUAGACUCAGGGUGUGGACUUCGAGCAAUGGACCUUCAUCAGACCUGCAAGAAACAAACAUAUAAACCGGGAAAAGAGUGACUGGGUUGUUUUUUCCUUGUGGUAGGUGGUCAGGGAAUGCAAGCAAGGAGAGUUCAUGUUUUGGUUCAGAUAUUUCAUAGCAUUAGGCCAUAGAAGGUUUGCAGUGGGAUACCCUGGUGUCACACACACGUCCUUCACAGUGCCUGUUCCUCACCGCGCCUUCUCAGUGAAUUGCUGCUCACGUUUUUAC